This 4370-nucleotide long non-coding RNA is filed under the name Sus scrofa (pig). RNAcentral describes it as "lncRNA (ENSSSCG00060033965.1)". The record is from RNAcentral. Lineage: Eukaryota; Metazoa; Chordata; Mammalia; Artiodactyla; Suidae.
UUUUUUUUUUUUUUUUGUCUUUCCUAGGGCCACACUUGAGGCAUAUGGAGGUUCCCAGGCUAGGGAUCCGAUUGCCGCUGUAGCCGCCUGCCUACACCCAGCCACAGCAACAUCAGAUCCAAGCCGUGUCUGCGACCUACACCACAGCUCACAGCAACACCAGAUCCUUAACCCAUUGAGCAAGGCCAGAGAUCAAACGUGAAACCUCAUGGUUCCUAGUCAGAUUCGUUAACCACUGAGCCACGACAGGAACUCCUUUUUUGCCUUUUUCGAAUGCUUUCUGUUUGACCUCGUUUCAUUCCCAAUGAGCAUGGCACACUCUUUCCCAUUUUGCCAAUGAAAAGUUAAGGCUUAGAGAUGGUGAAUGAGUUACUUGGAGGAAACCAGCAAAAGCAUGGCAACCCUGAGGCUAAAACCCACACCUCAAUCUCCCACCCAGGACUCUGGCCUGUAAACCACACCAACUGCCUUAUGUAAAAACACAAACCACUAUUAUAAGACUGCAACCUCUGAGACCCAAGUGUAGAUUCUCUCCAACGGGUGAGAGUCUGAAGGCAGGAAACAUGCCCUAUUUCUCUUUGUCUUUAGAGUGGGAAUGUUUAAGGCCUAAGAUUUCGCCCCAUCCACCCACCUACCCACACCCACACCCACACCCAGUCAGCCAUGUCUCCAAAAGCAGGCUCCCUAGGAACAUGCCUUGCUCAUGGAUGGAGAGAGAGGCCAGUAGAUGUGCAGUUUAUCCUCCCCCACACCCUUUAGGGUACAACCUUGCCCACAGCCUCACAGAGAAAGGAUUGAGGAUCCCAUAGGCCAGCCAGUGUGUGACAAGGGCCAGUUGCAAACUAGGUAGGCACCAGACAUGCAAGACUAGACACAGAGAUCAGAAGAAGUCAAGUGUCAGCGACAGUGGGUUAAACCAGGGGGCUGCGGAACCCCAGGGAACGUGGCCAUGAGGUCCUGGUCCCUCAUAUAACAGAGGGAGAUGUGACUUGCCAGGGUCACACAACAGCCAGCGAGAGCAGCAGUAAGGCCAAUCCAAAGCCCAAAGGAAUCGGUCAAAGGCCAGGCCACAACUCCACAGAGCCAGGUUUCAUUCAUUCACACAAGAGUCACCCAGUCCCAUUCCCGAUGACCAGAUCGUCCUGUUGUUCUGGGUCCAGAGCCAGUACCCUGUCCCCAGUCUCCCUCCCCCACUUUGGGGAUGAGAUGGCCCUCAUGACUCAAGGUGGGGAAAAUCUGCGAAAUCACAGAAAAGGGAGCAGCUCCCCCUCUGGAGAAGCAAACCCAAACUCCAAAGCACAAGAAACAAACCAAUGGGCUGAGUCCAGGGCUGUGACAAGUCCAAGGAUUCCAGAGCCCAGUGUGGAAAGUUGCCAGAAGCCAGAAGACAGGAAGAGGUCUGACCUGAGUGGUCUAAAGGAAGGGCAUGCUAUCAAGGGCUGAAAGGAAACCAAAAGAUCUUGGAGGUAUGGUAAUGACACCAAGAGGUAAGGGGGAGAUAAGCCUAGGUUAUCAAUCCUGAUGGCAGAGGAGAGUUCCUAGUAGGAAGGGGGGUGGGGGGUAGGUGUGCUUGGAUCUAUAAACAGUGCCUUUAAGUGUUUGUCCCCAACUUGGAAAGCAUGGAAUAUCUGAAUGUUAGCAGUGCCUGCUACUGAAGACAAAAGCACCGUAAUGGUACUUUCUGUAAGGAAAGGGGAUGCCAUUGACUCCAAAUGCUAUUUACAAAGGGCUUUUCAGGAAAGAAAAAAAAAAAAAAAAGUCUUGCCUAUAAAGACACCUGUCCAUUGGUCUGAGCUGACUGAUGAUGUAGUGUUUGCUUUCCUAUUUCUGUGGGGUCUGUGGCGCUUCUGUUGAGCAAAGGGGAGGGGCAAUCGCUGUGUUGGGGACCUAGCAGAGAAGCAGGAACUCAGUAAAAUGAGGUCUUGUCCCUUCUGUGCUUUCAAGCCCUUGGUGCCUUCCCAGUGUACUUGGAAUAAACAGAUUCCUCAAACGCCGCCCACAAGCCCUACAGGAUCUGGCUCUGCCCCUCCUCUCUCCCUGACACCCACUCAGUGAAGCCCCACUGACCUGCUCUCUGCUCCUCCACCAGCGGAGCUUUCUCUGCCUGCUGCCCUACACUGCAGUUCCCUCUGCUCUGAACAGCCUCCCCCCAGCCCGAUGUUUGCAUGGCUGCCCCCUUCUCCUGCUUUAGGUGCACAGGGCUCUACUUGAGCAGAGGGGGGUCCAGAAGGCCCCACUUCCCAUAACCCUUUACUUCUCCAUGGCACUUAGAUUAACCCAAGUCACCAGUUGUCUACUUGCUUAGAGUACCAAGUAUCCCCUCCUGGGCCCUCCCACCAUCCACAUCAGCAGGUUCCUUUGCAAAAAAGCUCAGUCUUCACUGUCCUGUUCACUAAGAGGGAUGCGGUGCCCGGCAGAGCACCUGAUUGUUGGUAACCAGUCAAGAAAUACAUGUGGGAUGAAUGAACGAACAAGAGGUCUGCUGAUUUGAAUGUAAUUGAGCGAAAACCCAGGACGCCAAUUCCAAACAUGGAAAGAUAAGAAUCUUCACACACUCACUACUGCUUCCCUUUCUCCAAUUAAGCCCCCGUGCAACCUGCUUCCACUUUCUCCCCUCUGCUCCUCCCUCCUUCCCUCUCUUCUUUCUGUUACAGAGGUUCUCGAGCACCUGUUUUGGCUAGAUGCCACAUGAUAGGCCCACCUUCCCACCCACUCUGCUCCCCAGUAGCCCCCAGUCCCCUGCCCUCAUCCAGGGCUCCAGUCUAUCCCUGGGUCCCCUCAAGUCACAUCCUUUAUAUGGUCACCCACCAGUACCUCUUCUUGGGGGACCUUCGCUGGGACUGAGCCCUGAGGCAGAACACUCUAGGAAAGAGAAAUGGGGGAGUCUGCAUGGAACCAGCUACAGCCAUGUAUUUAAUGACAUAUUUGUCCUGUUGGGAGCCAAAGCUUUGGAGUGUCUAUACAUUCAGUUUUUCAUAAAAAAAAAAAGAAUUACAAUAACUCGGUCUUUUCAAAGUUUUUGUUGGCAUCCUAAGAGUCUUAUUAGCUGACUAUCACCCAGGACUGCUUCCUUGCUUCUUCUGAGCCUCAGAUUGAAAUGAACAUUUGGCUUUCAAGAUCCCUCUGUGUUCAGGAGUUCCCAUUGUGGUUAAGAACCUGACUCGUAUCCAUGAGGAUGUGGGUUCCAUCCCUGGCCUCGCUCAGUGGGUUAAGGCUCCAGCAUGGCCACAAGCUGAGGUGUAGGUCACAGAUGAGGCUCAGAUCUGGCAUGGCUAUGGCUGUGGUAUAGGCCGGCAGCUGCAGCUCUGAUUCAGCCCCCAGCCUGGGAACCUCCAUAUGCCACAGAUGCUGCGCUGAAAAAAAAAAAAAAAUUUUAAGAAAGAUCCUUCUGAGUUCUAAACCUUGUGUAAUCUUCGAGACGUGCAUCCACUCAGGUUUGGUAGCAGCCAGGAUGAGUCAAACAUCACCCUCUACGGGCUCAUCUCCCAGUGACAAAAAAAAAUAAGUGCUCAGUUCCAUCCCUCCAGGGGUGUGCGGGAGGGGACGGAGAACUGGGUCAAGGGUCUGCCAAGAUUGUCUCUGGGAGCCGAGGAUCCCUUUUGCUCUGUCUGCAGAAAGAAUAGAGUAGCCCGCUUCCCAGUGAAAGGAAAGGGGUCCUGUCCUGCAGGAAAAGAUUAAGGGGUGAGCUGUGCGGUUGUGUGGAGAGCUGGGGUGCUGAGAGAGAGCAAGCAUUUAUCAUGCUUCAGAACGGAGCUCAGGAAGGUGGGGAUGGGAGGAGAGCCUCAGCCUUUCCCAGUGCUGUCAAUGCACAGGCACGAUGUCAGAGGCAAGGUAGUGAACUGGAGGAUGCAGAGGAGAGCCAGGACAAAGGGGCACAGACUUGAGCGAACGUCUCCCUGGGUGAGUUCAGUGAGGGGCUGCCUUGUUCCCCGGAGGCAUGGGGGUUGGGGGUGGCCCAGCGUAGAUCUGCUGACCCCCUUCUGAGGAUCCCAGGACCCCAGGGACAGAGAAGAAGCCUGCAGCAUUGUUUGAGGUUCUAGCAAGUGCCCAAAGCAUCUUCAAUGUCUGGCUCUCCAGGCAGCUCAGGAUGGGACCUAAAUCUACACUCUCCCUCCACCAAGUUACGCCUGCCAACAGGAUUCCUGGGGCGCUGGUUCAGUGAGGGAUGCAGUGGGGAACAGGGCCGGGCUGCCCUGUGUUCGGCUUCGCCCAGCCCUCCGGCAGCAGAGAGUGAGCCUGCAGAAGCAGCCUCACUGCCUUAAGCACAGUCUGGGCCUGCGUCAGCAGCAAACAGCUUCCCUUGCACCUCGGGAGGAAGUGUUAAUGAGGAGAGAGGUGGAGAAGGGUUGUGCCUGCCUGCGGUUUCUAAC